Molecule: long non-coding RNA, 747 nt
Filed under: Selaginella moellendorffii
Lineage: Eukaryota; Viridiplantae; Streptophyta; Lycopodiopsida; Selaginellales; Selaginellaceae
Description: long non-coding RNA (SMOE_LNC001377)
Source: RNAcentral
GGCGCUUCUUUCAACGUGGCCAGGCUGGGAGCACUAGGGUAGCAGCUCACAGCGCUGCCACAGUAAUGUGCUAUCCGAUCGAUCGAUCUUGGUCUCGGGUUUAGCUUCUAGAGGUUUCCGGCUUCGCCACAGCUAGUGGUUUCUUCCUCCGGCCUAUGGCACCGCUAGAAAAUCCUCCAAACCGACUCAGCCCUUGAAGAACAGAUCGAGAUUUAGGAGGAACAAGAGAUUGCACGAAAGGUCUUGCGUUGGGAGCUCGACCGGUGCCUAGCUGCUCUAUGGAAGAUUUGCCGUUCAAACGGAGAGUGCUCAUGAGAUUGAGCUCCAUCUAUAAAUUCAAUCCUUUAUGAGAUAUGAGUGCCACGUCUGCAUUUGACAAGGUGAUGCCGCGAUUCAAAUUUCUGGCGCUUGGAUGCCCGGUGCCUCAGCAUGGGUAAUACCAUAUGUAUUGAAAUAUCACAUAUUGAAUGAUUUUGGAACAGCUUAUGCACAACAAGGGAACUCUUUUGAUUAUAUAUACACAUUUGUGGGCUCAGCUGGAGGCAUUUACAAUAUACAAAUUGAUUUCCUUGUCCUAAUUUUAAUCUUGGAUUCCCCUUCUUUUGCCAAUGUCAAAAUUACUUUUGCCUGUUGAACUUUACUAGACCAAAGACAAGAAAUCCAUUUGCAUCCAUUGCAUUGUGGUUUAAUGCAUUUAGUUGUUGGGUGUUACAUGUAUACUUAUUCUUUCAAAGCCUAGAAAAAAAA